AACAUUUUCCUCUAUCUUUUCUGUUUAGAGUGAUGGCUCAGGUUUCCUAAGUCUGAUAUUUUGGGUUCUUCCAGAGCUAGAAGCAAACAUUAGUUCCGCUCUACUUUUGGGAAGUGUCUUUGUUGCAUUGGGGAAAGCUCCUUUCCUCUCUUUCAGUGCUUGAAAACAUCAGACUUCAGCCUUGCCGUUCAGAACUACUGUUGUUUUGCAGGGUAAAGAAACUGAAGUCAAGAGAGCUAAUGCAACUUGUUCCAAGGCCACACAAAGCCUCUUUUUUAUGUUGGAGAAAUUGUAGAAAAAUGAACAAUAACUGCAUUACAAAGAAUUAACAAACCAAAUUUUGAAUGUAAAUUACCUCAACCUAAAGCAUUUCAGAUAGCUAAAAUCAAGUAGAUGUAGUACUUACUCCUUUCAAUUUAUUACUGUGGGAUCUCAUGUAAUUUAGUUGUACAAUAUCUACAUUAUAGACCUAUAAAAUUCAGUAAGAUGCCUCCUACACUACAUGCUUUAUCUUAAAUAUUCAAGUUUCUUAUGUUGAGUAAUUAUUUAUUCUUUUAUGUAAGUCUUAGUCUCUUUUAAGUCUUAAAAUGCAGAUACUGACUCAGCUGAAAAAUUAUUGGAUACUUGCUUCUCUCCUUCAUGUCAGUAGCAAAACUGUACAUAUCACAUGCACAUGUACAGUAAAUAAGUAAUAUAUAUGAAUACAACUUCAAGCUGAAUCCAUUUGCCCUAAUUUCAGCUGCCCAAACUUGAUCUAGUCACCUGGGCUUCCUUCAGAAGAAAUGCCAGCCUCUCAUAAGUGUGGUCAUUCCACGUCAAAUAUAUGAUCAGGAUAGUUCAGUUGAAUCACUUUCUGGAGGUGCCAAUUUCUCUCCAUUAAGAGAAAGAAAACAGGAAGUGCCCAGCUCAGACACAGAUAUCUGAAGCUGGGUGAGAUACAAUAGUGAUUCUAACCUUGCACUUGACCUUGUGUUUAACCAUGCAUUACCUCACUAGAAUAACCCUGGGCAGUCCUUAAUCCCAGCAAAGAUGCCAUGUGCUGCCCACCACUGUGUCACUGUUUUGCAUUCAGUUUCACUGAAACAUUUACCAUUUCUUAAAUGCAACAGAAAUAAAAACUCAAUGAAUUGCUGAUUGAUUUACCA
Molecule: long non-coding RNA, 1145 nt
Filed under: Phasianus colchicus (ring-necked pheasant)
Lineage: Eukaryota; Metazoa; Chordata; Aves; Galliformes; Phasianidae
Description: lncRNA (ENSPCLG00000020445.1)
Source: RNAcentral